This is a non-coding RNA of Oncorhynchus mykiss (rainbow trout), 420 nucleotides long. NCBI's taxonomy places the organism in Eukaryota, Metazoa, Chordata, Actinopteri, Salmoniformes, Salmonidae. The record is from RefSeq and is a predicted model, not a curated record.
UCUGUGUGUUAACAGCAUGUUGUAUUCAGACCAGAGGAGCUAGGAGGUGGUAUGUCUGUGUGUUAGCAGCAUGUUGUAUCCAGACCAGAGGAGCUAGGAGGUGGUAUGUCUGUGUGUUAGCAGCAUGUUGUAUCCAGACCAGAGGAGCUAGGAGGUGGUAUGUCUGUGUGUUAGCAGCAUGUUGUAUCCAGACCAGAGGAGCUAGGAGGUGGUAUGUCUGUGUGUUAGCAGCAUGUUGUAUCCAGACCAGAGGAGCUAGGAGGUGGUAUGUCUGUGUGUUAGCAGCAUGUUGUAUCCAGACCAGAGGAGCUAGGAGGUGGUAUGUCUGUGUGUUAGCAGGAUGUUGGAGGUGGUAUGUCUGUGUGUUAACAGGAUGUUGUAUCCAGACCAGAGGAGCUAGGAGGUGGUAUGUCUGUGUGU